CCCCACCAUUAACUCACAGACAUUUUACAUUUUCCUUAUUUAAAAGCGCUGUUAAAACUCCAAACCAGCUGCAGGAAUGACGAGUUCAAAUCAGGAGGAGAGAGGAAUACAUUACAAGGCUGCUGUGUGUCCUCCAGAUCUAGGUUACAUGUAAUUGCUCAGUAAUUGGUAGAACCAUGUAAAAGCCAUGGUAUCUGCCAGCAAACCCUCCUAA
Long non-coding RNA from Catharus ustulatus (Swainson's thrush), 214 nucleotides. RefSeq lists it as uncharacterized. Lineage: Eukaryota; Metazoa; Chordata; Aves; Passeriformes; Turdidae. The record is from RefSeq and is a predicted model, not a curated record. The transcript is spliced from 2 exons.